GGCUCAGGAUGAACGCUGGCGGCGUGCCUUAAGCAUGCAAGUCGAACGGAGAUUGUGUCUAGCACAAAGUUAAUUACCUCUUGUUCCCUUGUUAUGCGCAAAGCACAAAAGUCAGAUAUUGACUAAUUUUUUGGCGUAUAACGAGUGGAACAAUGAUUCUAAUUAAUUUCGUGCUAGGCAUGAAACCAGUGGCGGACGGGUGAGUAUAAGCAAGGUACGUACCCUUUACUGUGACAUAGCUCGUCGAAAGACGGGGUAAUAUCGCAUGAUCCCUUACGGGCAAAGUGCUUAACCGCACGGUAUUGGAGCGGCCUUGUAUCUAUCAGCUAGUUGGUGGGGUAAUAGCCUACCAAGGCUACGACGGAUAGGGGGCGUGAGAGCGCGACCCCCCACAAUGGCACUGAGAUACGGGCCAUACAUCUACGGAUGGCAGCAACUGGGAAUCGUUGGCAAUGGGCGAAAGCCUGACCACGCGACGCCGCGUGAAGGAUGAAGGCCCUCGGGUCGUAAACUUCUUUUGCCUCGGCAUGAAGCUGAGGAGAAUAAGCAUCUACAAACUACGUGCCAGCAGUCGCGGUAAUACGUAGGAUGCAAGCGUUAUCCGGAUUCACUGGGCGUAAAGAGUCGUGUAGGUGGUUUGCCGCAUCGUACUUGAAAGCCCGAGGCUUAACCUCGGCGUUGGGUACGAGAUGGGUAGACUUGAGGGAGGUAGAGGAAAGGGGAACUGAUGGUGAAGCAGUGAAAUGCGUUGAUAUCAUCAGGAACACCAAAGGCGAAGGCACCUUUCUGGACCUCUCCUGACACUGAGACACGAAAGCUAGGGGAGCGAAGCAGAUUAGAUACCUGCGUAGUCCUAGCCCUAAACGCAUGUCUGCUAGAUGGUCCGUCGUAAGAGGGACUGUCGUAAGCUAACGCGUUAAGCAGACCGCCU
Molecule: ribosomal RNA, 931 nt
Filed under: uncultured bacterium
Lineage: Bacteria
Description: bacterial SSU rRNA
Rfam family: Bacterial small subunit ribosomal RNA
Source: RNAcentral